AUACGACAACUAUAGCAUAGAUCAGAGAAUGUUAUUGAUUA
RNAcentral lists this non-coding RNA (41 nucleotides) under Trypanosoma brucei brucei. The record is from RNAcentral. Lineage: Eukaryota; Euglenozoa; Kinetoplastea; Trypanosomatida; Trypanosomatidae.